This 2005-nucleotide long non-coding RNA is filed under the name Marmota monax (woodchuck). The record is from RNAcentral. Lineage: Eukaryota; Metazoa; Chordata; Mammalia; Rodentia; Sciuridae.
CCCAAGGAGAUGCAGGACAUCAUGGCAAAAGGGUGUGGCAGAGAAACACAGCUCAAGAUGUGUCAUCCAGGAAGUAGAGAGAGAGAGAGAGAGUUUCACUCACCAAGGACAAAAUAUAAACCCAAAGACACACUCCCAGUGACCUACUUCCUACAGCCAAAACCUACCAGCCUGCAAUUACUUCCCAGUUAAUCCACAUCAGUUAAUGAAUCCACUGAGCAGGUUAUACGUCUCAUAAUCUAAUCAUUUCACCUCUGAAAAUUCUUGCAUUGUUUCCCAUGUGGCUUUUGGGGGACUCCUCAUAUCUAAAUUAUAACAGGCAGUUUCUCAAAAUCUUAAAGACAGAGUUAUCAUAAGACCCAGAAAUUCCACCCUUAGGGGUACUCAAGAGAGAAUUGAAAAUGCAUGCCCUCACAAAAACCAGCAUACAAAUACUUAUAGCAGCACCAUUCCCAAAUACCUCAAAGAGGAAACAGUACAACUGUCCAUCAACUGAUUAUUGGAUAUUUAAAAAUGUACUGUACCCAUGCAACCAGUUCUAAAAAUGAAUGAAGCACUAAUUCAUGCUACAGGGAUGAAAUUCUUGCCAAGUGCAAGAAGUCAGACACCAAAAGUAGCGUAUUAUAUAACUCUAUUUGGUGUCUAUAAUAGGCAAAUCCAAAGAGACAGAAAGUAGAUUAAUGACUUCCAGAGGAUUGGGGGAGACAAGACAGUGAAUAACUGCUAAUGGGCCCAUGGUUUCCUUUGAGGGUGAUGAAAAGGUAAAAUUAGAUAGUGGUGCUAGUUACACAACUCUGAAUAUACCAAAACCCUCUGAAUUAUAUACUAGAAAAGAGUACAUUUUAUGUUAUAUAAAUUAUAUCUCAAUGAAGAUAUUAUUUUUAAAAAGCAAAUGACAUUCAGACUACAUGGAGUAUUACGAGGACUUAGUAACAACAAGGAGGAACAGAUUUAGGAGGAAGGUGAGUUUGAGGCAUACUAAAAGGAAGACAUUUAUGAAACGUUUAGGUAGAAAUAUCUGGAAACGUUCACCUGAAGCUUUAAGAGAGGAAGACUUGAGUAUUGUCUAUGAGAAAGGACUAGAACCAUGGGUGUGGAGAAAACUCAGUGAGAAAGUGAAAAGAGAAGAGGGCAAGUUCAAGAUGAAACCUGGAGAAAUGUUAAAAGAAAACAUCAAAGGAAAGAACAGAAUACCAGAAAGAAAAGCUAUUUGAAGAAAACCCUGGAAAGUAUAAAGAACCGAAAUCUAAAGCUAGCAUGGCAGUGCCCAGAGGUAGGUCAGGAAGAGAUGAACCAGGAUGAGUCCCCACAGAUGAGUUCACCAUAAACACUGAAGGAAGGGUUAAGGAUGUUUGGUUUAUACAGAAGAACAAUGGGAAGCCAUUAAACAGGGAGAGUCAUAAUUUGAUUUGCAUUUUUAAAUGAUCACUCUAGCUAUAGUAUGGAGGCUGAUUUGGAGGGGUUUCACCAAAACCAAUCCUGAUACGAGAUAUUAACUUGGAGUAGGAUGGUGAUGGUGUAGUUGAAGAGAUCCGAGAAGGAUUUCAAAGAUUACCCAGGAACUUGGUGAGGAUAGAAUAUGGAUGGUGGAGGAGAGGCAUGGGUCAAGGGAUGUCUCAUUUUCUGCCUUAUUUUUACAUGGAUACUGGGACCUUUGGGAUAGAAAAUGAAUCCAUUAUCGGGGAAGGGGUGGGAGAUGGUGACUACAAGAUCCAAGCAGAGCUAUUGAGAACAGAGUUGUACAUAAAGACUGCUGCCCGGCAGAGAGCCCUGAGCUGAAGGUGAUGAUGUAGAAGUUGUCAUCAUUCAGCUGAUCACUGGAAUCGUGGAAUGAAUGAAGUUGAUUAGGGAGAGAGAACAGAGUGAGAAGUAAACAAGACACAUGUCAGACCACAAGAUUAAUGAUCACAAUGAACAUGUAGAACACCAAAAUGGAACUGUCAUGUUGAGGAAAGUGAGCCCUGAAAGAGAGAGGAAGAGUUGGUCAGACCAAUAAAAGAACAUC